UUAUAAUCCAGGGACUGGGCUCCGCACGCUCGUAGCGCCCUUGGAGCUUUGGAAGUGGGUGUGAGGCUUGAGGAAAAGGGUGUGAAGGGGAGCACGUUGGGGAGGACAGGGAAGAACGGAAGAAAUGGGGGAGCAAGUCGUGGAGGAGACUGGAGGGAAGAUGGACCGAGAAGGAAGCCGCCUGAGGAGGUCCCGCCUGUCGUAGCCGCCUGCCCUGAGAGGAGGGGGGAGGGAGGGAGACUUACAGGAUGGUGACACAGAGGUGGCAUUCCCCGCUGUAGGUGACCUGGUCGCUGCCACAGACGGGCUCGCUUGGCUUGAUGUAGGAGAGGAACCAGCACUGGUUGAUAUUGUUGAUGCAAACGGCCUGGAGGUGAGAGCCAGACACGUGUGGGUGCCUGCACCCAGGUCCUUCGACCGUUCUCACUGCCACUGGGGGAAGGAGUGUCAACCCCGACGGUGGCUGUUAGUGAUGGGGGGGGGGGGUGUAAUCUGAUAGAUAGAAUAAUCCUAUUAUUUUAAAAUCUUAGAACACAUAUACUUAUAUGUACUUAUGUGAAUAGGGGAUUCAGUUUCUUAUACGUGAAUAGGGGGUUAAGUUUUUCUUGUUUCCUUUCCAAGGCCUGUGCCAAGCGAUGGAGGAGGUGACUCAGCUGUGACUCCAGCAAGUAGAACUGAUAAGCACGGUCAGACCGACCCAUCAGGAGUCAAAACAUCAUCUCAUGCCUGGUGGCUAAGGACAACAGCUGCCGGCUGCCCGCCUCUAGGCCUGCACGGAGCUGCAUUCCGUCCCCAGCCUCGCCCCGCCCCCUCCCCUUACAGUCCUGUCCCUGCACCUGCUGGGAGAGGGGAUCUGAACGCCCGUCAGCGCCCUGCCUUCUUGGUUGGCAGGCCUCCUCAGUAAACGCCUUCUACGGUGACGGCAGCCUGAGCCCCCCCCUCCCCCGGGCGCUUCCCGGUCACAUCAGGUCACGGAGGGAAAGUGUCCCUCAAGGUUAGGCUUUCCUAAGAGUGACGCGUGUGUGGCUGCGACAGGCAGCAGUGGCUCACACGGGCGGGCGCAGUGGCGUUAGGAUGUUGCCGGAAAGGGACAGUGACUGCAUGCGGGGCCCUGCUGUGCGGGAGGCAGGAUGUGAGCCUCGCGCAUCCCAGCUGAUUUCAGCCAUGACGCCGUCACCCAGCGAAUGACGCGUCACGCUGCCUUCUAGCCCGCCAGAGAGUGUAUGAAGCGACUGGGCUAAGGAAUGGGAAGAGGGCUCAGGGACACGGAAAACGCGCCACCCACAGGCGACGACGCAGCUCUUAUGGGGCCGUGAUUCCCACGCCAGCCCCCUCCGGCCCCCAACUCCCAGCGGUCAGGGCUGGGGGCACGGGGCUCCUCCCAUUGCUGGUCCCCGGAGGCCAGGAGGCAGGCUCACCUUUGUCUCUUGGACGCUCGCCCCUUCACCGGUGGGAACAAGGAAGUCUGGAAGACAAAACAGCUUCAGAAAGUCCCUCUCGGCCUCCGCCCCAGGGAAGAGCACGGAGAGGGACCUGGCUGGCCGCCAGGAGCUCUGAUCCCUCAGAUGAGGCUGCCCUUGCCCUGAGGGUGCCCCGAGGGGGGAGACCUGGGGAGCACCGCCUUCGCCCGCAUGCAUGUGAGAGGAGACCUCCGGUAUACUUGGAUCUUGUUCUUAAAAUUUUAGUCAAAUGAUUUCUACCUUUUGGACUGGGUUGUGGAAUUCAUUCACAUAAAGUUUUAUGAUGUAGUUAGAUUUGAUCUGGCAUUUUACUUUUUUUAACAAAUAUGGAACGCUUCAGGAAUUUGCGUGUCAUCCUUGCGCAGGGGCCAUGCUAAUCUUCUCUGUAUCGUUCCAAUUUUAGUAAAUGUGCUGUCGGAGCCAGCUCUGGCAUUUUACUUUUUGUUGUCGGUAUGUCUCAUCUCUUCUUGCUUCCCUGUUCCUCUUUUGCUGCAUUAAGAGAAUAUAAUCGAGUGUAACAUUGUAAUUCCCAUAAUUUUUCACUAUUUCUCAGAAUAUAUAUAUUUU
Myotis daubentonii (Daubenton's bat) is the source of this 2027-nucleotide long non-coding RNA. RefSeq lists it as uncharacterized. Lineage: Eukaryota; Metazoa; Chordata; Mammalia; Chiroptera; Vespertilionidae. The transcript has 2 exons. The record is from RefSeq and is a predicted model, not a curated record.